GGAAGGAUCAUUAUUGAAUAAACUUGAGCAGGCUGUUGCUGGCCCCUUGGGGGGUAUUGUGCACGCUUGUCAUCUUUAUCUCUCCCACUGUGCACAUAUUGUAGACCCUGGAGUUGUAAUUGUUCAUAAUAGAUUGAGGACUGCUUCAAAGCUUUUCCUUGCUUCUCCAGGUCUAUGUCAAAAUUUUUCACAAUCUCUAAACUAGAAUGUUGAAUUGGGUCUUUGUACCUAUAAAGUUUAAAUAUACAACUUUCAGCAACGGAUCUCUUGGCUCUCGCAUCGAUGAAGAACGCAGCGAAAUGCGAUAAGUAAUGUGAAUUGCAGAAUUCAGUGAAUCAUCGAAUCUUUGAACGCAUCUUGCGCUCCUUGGUAUUCCGAGGAGCAUGCCUGUUUGAGUGUCAUUAAGUUCUCAACUACAUCAGUUCUUAACUAUUGGUGUGGCUUGGAUAGUGGGGGAAUUAUGUUUGCAGGCUUUAAACUCAAAGUCUGCUCCCCUGAAAUAUAUCAGUAGUAUCUGAGCAAAGCUACUACAGGUGUGAUAAUUAUCUAUGCCUUGGGUGGACUUGCAUGAACGGAUUGCACUGCUUCUAACAAGUGAAAACCUUUAAAAGUUUUUACCUUUGACAAAUUUGACCUCAAAUCAGGUAGGACUACCCGCUGAACUUAAGCAUAUCAAUAAGCGGAGGAAAAGAAACUAACAAGGAUUCCCCUAGUAACUGCGAGUGAAGCGGGAAGAGCUCAAAUUUGAAAUCUGGCGGCUUUUUGCUGUCCGAGUUGUAAUCUAGAGAAGUGUUACCUGUGCUGGACCAUGUAAAAGUCUCCUGGAAUGGAGCAUCAUAGAGGGUGAGAAUCCCGUCUUUGACAUGGACUACCUGUACAUUAUGGUGCGCUCUCAAAGAGUCGAGUUGUUUGGGAAUGCAGCUCAAAAUGGGUGGUAAAUGCCAUCUAAAGCUAAAUAUUGGCGAGAGACCGAUAGCGAACAAGUACCGUGA
Molecule: ribosomal RNA, 992 nt
Filed under: uncultured fungus
Lineage: Eukaryota; Fungi
Description: eukaryotic LSU rRNA
Rfam family: Eukaryotic large subunit ribosomal RNA (bases 631-992)
Source: RNAcentral